Small nucleolar RNA from Zalophus californianus (California sea lion), 131 nucleotides. NCBI's taxonomy places the organism in Eukaryota, Metazoa, Chordata, Mammalia, Carnivora, Otariidae. The record is from Ensembl.
CUGUGCACUUAAAACAGAUGGUUUAAUAGUUCCCUUGGCUUUGACACUGUGCUAGAGUGAUGUGUGUUCUUUCCCUCUGCAUUGAAAGGACUGUUUAUCCUUUUAAAUGCAUUCAGAAAGUCAGCACAUUA